RNAcentral lists this transfer RNA (72 nucleotides) under Cavia porcellus (domestic guinea pig). It matches the Rfam family "tRNA". Rfam says of the family: Transfer RNA (tRNA) molecules are approximately 80 nucleotides in length. The record is from Rfam by way of RNAcentral. Lineage: Eukaryota; Metazoa; Chordata; Mammalia; Rodentia; Caviidae.
AGGGAUUUAGCUUAUUGGCAGAGCACAUGCCUGGCAAGCUUGAGGUCUUGAGUUCGAUUCCAGGUACCCCCC